UACGUAGGGGGCGAGCGUUGUCCGGAAUCAUUGGGCGUAAAGAGCGUGUAGGCGGCUUGGCAAGUCUGACGUGAAAGCCCGCGGCUCAACCGCGGAUUGUCGUUGGAAACUGCCUCGCUAGAGUCCGGAAGAGGAGAGCGGAAUUCCUGGUGUAGCGGUGGAAUGCGCAGAUAUCGUAAGGAAGACCAGUGGCGAAGGCGGGUCUCUGGACAGUUCCUGACGCUGAGGCACGAAGGUCAGGGGAGCAAACGGG
RNAcentral lists this ribosomal RNA (253 nucleotides) under uncultured bacterium. RNAcentral describes it as "partial 16S ribosomal RNA". It matches the Rfam family "Bacterial small subunit ribosomal RNA", at positions 524 to 776 of the family's 1533-position model. The record is from RNAcentral.